Nylanderia fulva is the source of this 350-nucleotide non-coding RNA. The record is from RefSeq and is a predicted model, not a curated record. Lineage: Eukaryota; Metazoa; Arthropoda; Insecta; Hymenoptera; Formicidae.
AUUUUGGAAACCAAACUACGUCACGGAAAGUUUAGAAAAUGCAAGAUGUUUUCACAUACGAUUCAAGAAAUUUCCGAAUAUUUUUGUCGACCAACUAUUAAUAUAUAGAUCGUAUUUAUUUUCUUGGUGGACAAACAGCCGUACCACUCCAAUAAAAGCUAUAGAGAUGCGAGACAAGAAGAUAACUUUGAUUAAGUAUUUGAGAAGUCAAUCUAUAUUAUUCCGUAAAGAAAUAAUGCCCAAGUGUUUGGUUUGAGUGUAAUAAACCUUAAGAUAUGCAUUAUAACAAAUAUUGAUACGUAUACUAGAGUAAAUAACUAAUUGAAAAUUUUAAAUACUUUUAUCUUUAA